GAGACAUAUCAAAAGUUUCUCGAAUCCAACUUGAAAACAGGAUGAGUUGAAGCUUGAAGGUGACUGCAUGCUACCGGCAAAAUUUUGGGCGACUGUCAUCGGGACAAAUUUAAAUUACUUAAAAUUUGCAACCUUGUAGGGCAGACGCAGACGAGUCCUUUCCUCAGUACACAGCCGGCCUGUGCAUAAAUCGCCGGCUUAAUAGCCACCCACAGCCACCAAUGCCAUCGUCGUUCCUGGGGAACCAUGACGAUUUCUUCAGUUUAACGGCCUUAUUUGUGGGUCCCUCUCGCCUUACUAUUAGACGGCUUUCCCUCUAUGGUCGCGCCAAUCAAAAAGGAAAAUUACAAGAAAUAAAAAGAGAUACUGAGGCCUCUUGGCUGCCACAAGUUCACAACAAACUUCCUUCCGGAAAAAUAAUCCAUUUUCUUUUCUUUACUCUGAUGGAAAAUAAGCCUUGUCUCGCCGCCCAAACAAGGCCCCACCCCCAGCUCCAACCCAUUCUCGAACACCAUGAUCUCCCCUUCACGCUCCCUCAGUCUCUCUCCUCCCCAUUCAUCUUCUCUGAAAUCCAGGACCGCCCAACAGAGCAACCCUAUUCUACACGUGGAGCUCCGACUGACUACGGAUGGAAACCGGGUAAUCUCCACCGCUCCAAAACAGCUCCAGCCAUGGUCGUGAUGCGAGACUUGAAACCAGAAUCAACCCAAGAUCCCAAGCCGCAAUCUGACUCCAGCUCCAUUAUCAGGCAAUCCAUUUUCCUGUUGUCUAUGUUUCUACUUCUCGGCGUGGUUAUCUACUCUUUUAACAGAGAUAACUUCUCCGGUGU
RNAcentral lists this unclassified non-coding RNA (829 nucleotides) under Hevea brasiliensis (rubber tree). The record is from RNAcentral. Lineage: Eukaryota; Viridiplantae; Streptophyta; Magnoliopsida; Malpighiales; Euphorbiaceae.